GAAAGCACAAUACAGCUCUUUGAAAAGAAAAGAGAAAAAGAGAAGAGGAAAACAAAGGGUUGAGAAAUGCUCUAAACAAAUAUUUAAAAAAUGUGCCGACAGUGAUGCUGGGACGAGUGGAAUAAAGCAAGGUAAGAAGUGCAG
This is a long non-coding RNA of Thalassophryne amazonica, 144 nucleotides long. RefSeq lists it as uncharacterized. The transcript has 3 exons. Lineage: Eukaryota; Metazoa; Chordata; Actinopteri; Batrachoidiformes; Batrachoididae. The record is from RefSeq and is a predicted model, not a curated record.